GCUGGGUGCGGUGGCAGGCACCUGUAAUCCCAGCUACUCGGGAGGCUGAGGCAGGAGAAUUGCUUGAACCCGGGAGGCAGAGUUUGCAGUGAGCCGAGAUCGCACCACUGCACUCUAGCCUGGGUGACAGAGCAAGACUCUGCCUCAA
Molecule: unclassified non-coding RNA, 148 nt
Organism: Pongo abelii (Sumatran orangutan)
Lineage: Eukaryota; Metazoa; Chordata; Mammalia; Primates; Hominidae
Rfam family: Metazoan signal recognition particle RNA
About the family: The signal recognition particle (SRP) is a universally conserved ribonucleoprotein. It is involved in the co-translational targeting of proteins to membranes.
Source: Ensembl